GCACGCGUAGCUCAGCUGGAUAGAGCAUCGGCCUUCGAAGCCGAGGGUCGCAGGUUCGAAUCCUGCCGCGUGCG
This 74-nucleotide transfer RNA is filed under the name Phycisphaerae bacterium. Its description in RNAcentral is "tRNA-Arg". It matches the Rfam family "tRNA". From Rfam's summary of the family: Transfer RNA (tRNA) molecules are approximately 80 nucleotides in length. Their secondary structure includes four short double-helical elements and three loops (D, anti-codon, and T loops). The record is from RNAcentral. Lineage: Bacteria; Pseudomonadati; Planctomycetota; Phycisphaerae.